Molecule: long non-coding RNA, 371 nt
Organism: Triticum dicoccoides
Lineage: Eukaryota; Viridiplantae; Streptophyta; Magnoliopsida; Poales; Poaceae
Exons: 2
Source: RefSeq, a predicted model, not a curated record
GCCUGCUGAGGGCGAAGGAAUUUGAUGGAAAGGAGUGGAUGAUCAUGGUUGACAUGAACCAUGCGGAUCUGCAGUCAUGUACUGAUGUGAAUGUAGAAGACAAGUUCUCUAAUACCACCCAACUUCCAACUGUCUUCUCCAAAUACCUUCAAAAGGCGAACAGGGAUGGCAUGGGACAUCAUUGAGCUAACUUCAUUGAAAUGCAAGUCUGCAAUAUGAAGACCUGUUAUCUGGUGACUGAAGGUGAACACUUUGCGGAUGCUCAAAUCAAAGAUGUUGUUUGUCAAUGACGCGGUGCAGGCAGAACAGUUUGAUGAUGUACUGAUGAAUAUCUAUUGGAGUAACGCUACAUGUUCUGGAUCAUUUAAUCA